GUGUAAGUUCUGGUAGUCCCCUCUCUUCCCUUCCUGUGUAAGUUCUGGUAGUCCCCUCUCUUCCCUUCCUGUGUAAGUUCUGGUUGUCCCCUCUCUUCCCUUCCCUUCCUGUGUAAGUUCUGGUAGUCCCCUCUCUUCCCUUCCCUUCCUGUGUAAUUCUGGUAGUCCCCUCUCUUCCCAUCCUGUGUAAGUUCUGGUAGUCCCCUCUCUUCCCAUCCUGUGUAAGUUCUGGUAGUCCCCUCUCUUCCCUUCCCUUCCUGUGUAAGUUCUGGUAGUCCCCUCUCUUCCCUUCCCUUCCUGUGUAAGUUCUGGUAGUCCCCUCUCUUCCCUUCCCUUCCUGUGUAAGUUCUGGUAGUCCCGUCUCUUCUCUUCCCUUCCUGUGUAAGUUCUGGUAGUCCCCUCUCUUCCCUUCCCUUCCUGUGUAAGUUCUGGUAGUCCCCUCUCUUCCCUUCCUGUGUAAGUUCUGGUAGUCCCCUCUCUUCCCUUCUCUUCCCUUCCUGUGUAAGUUCUGGUUGUCCCUUCUCUUUCCUUCUCUUUCCUUCCUGUGUAAGUUCUGGUAGUCCCCUCUCUUCUCUUCCCUUCCUGUGUAAGUUAUGGUAGUCCCCUCUCUUCUCUUCCCUUCCUGUGUAAGUUAUGGUAGUCCCCUCUCUUCUCUUCCCUUCCAGUGUAAGUUCUGGUUGUCCCCUCUCUUCCCUUCCUGUGUAAGUUCUGGUUGUCCCCUCUCUUCCCUUCCUGUGUAAGUUCUGGUAGUCCCCUCUCUUCCCAUCCUGUGUAAGUUCUGGUAGUCCCCUCUCUUCCCUUCCUUCCUGUGUAAGUUCUGGUAGUCCCCUCUCUUCCCUUCCCUUCCUGUGUAAUUCUUGUUGUCCCUUCUCUUCCCAUCCUGUGUAAGUUCUGGUUGUCCCCUCUCUUCCCUUCCUGUGUAAGUUCUGGUUGUCCCCUCUCUUCCCUUCCUGUGUAAGUUCUGGUAGUCCCCUCUCUUCCCUUCCCUUCCUGUGUAAGUUCUGGUAGUCCCCUCUCUUCCCUUCCUGUGUAAGUUCUGGUUGUCCCUUCUCUUCCCUUCCUGUGUAAGUUCUGGUUGUCCCUUCUCUUCCCUUCCUGUGUAAGUUCUGGUUGUCCCUUCUCUUUCCUUCCUCUGUAAGUUCUGG
This is a long non-coding RNA of Oncorhynchus tshawytscha (Chinook salmon), 1145 nucleotides long. NCBI's taxonomy places the organism in Eukaryota, Metazoa, Chordata, Actinopteri, Salmoniformes, Salmonidae. The record is from Ensembl.